RNAcentral lists this ribosomal RNA (466 nucleotides) under Vreelandella stevensii. Its description in RNAcentral is "partial 16S ribosomal RNA". It matches the Rfam family "Bacterial small subunit ribosomal RNA", at positions 338 to 795 of the family's 1533-position model. The record is from RNAcentral. Lineage: Bacteria; Pseudomonadati; Pseudomonadota; Gammaproteobacteria; Oceanospirillales; Halomonadaceae.
CCUACGGGUGGCAGCAGUGGGGAAUAUUGGACAAUGGGGGGAACCCUGAUCCAGCCAUGCCGCGUGUGUGAAGAAGGCCCUCGGGUUGUAAAGCACUUUCAGUGAGGAAGAACGCCUGGUGGUUAAUACCCAUCAGGAAAGACAUCACUCACAGAAGAAGCACCGGCUAACUCCAGUGCCAGCAGCCGCGGUAAUACGGAGGGUGCGAGCGUUAAUCGGAAUUACUGGGCGUAAAGCGCGCGUAGGUGGCUUGAUACGCCGGGUGUGACAGCCCCGGGCUCAACCUGGGAACGGCAUCCGGAACUGUCAAGCUAGAGUGCAGGAGAGGAAGGUAGAAUUCCCGGUGUAGCGGUGAAAUGCGUAGAGAUCGGGAGGAAUACCAGUGGCGAAGGCGGCCUUCUGGACUGACACUGACACUGAGGUGCGAAAGCGUGGGUAGCAAACAGGAUUAGAUACCCCUGUAGUC